CCUACGGGUGGCAGCAGUGGGGAAUAUUGGGCAAUGGAGGCAACUCUGACCCAGCAACGCCGCGUGAAUGAUGAAGGUCUUCGGAUUGUAAAGUUCUGUUAUGGGGGAUGAACACAAUGACGGUACUCCAAUAGCAAGCCACGGCUAACUACGUGCCAGCAGCCGCGGUAAUACGUAGGGGGCAAGCGUUAUCCGGAAUGACUGGGCGUAAAGGGUGCGUAGGUGGUUUAGUAAGUUGGCGGUGUAAUUCCGGGGCUCAACCUCGGCGCUACCGCGAAAACUAUUAGACUAGAGUGCAGGAGAGGUAAGUGGAAUUCCUGGUGUAGCGGUGAAAUGCGUAGAUAUUAGGAGGAACAUCAGGGGCGAAGGCGACUUACUGGACUGUAACUGACACUGAGGCACGAAGGCGUGGGUAUCGAACAGGAUUAGAUACCCGGGUAGUC
RNAcentral lists this ribosomal RNA (443 nucleotides) under uncultured bacterium. RNAcentral describes it as "partial 16S ribosomal RNA". It matches the Rfam family "Bacterial small subunit ribosomal RNA", at positions 338 to 795 of the family's 1533-position model. The record is from RNAcentral.